GCGCCCGUAGCUCAAUGGAUAGAGCAACAGCCUUCUAAGCUGUGGGUUGCAGGUUCGAGUCCUGCCGGGCGCGCCA
Molecule: transfer RNA, 76 nt
Filed under: Deltaproteobacteria bacterium
Lineage: Bacteria; Pseudomonadati; Myxococcota; Myxococcia
Description: tRNA-Arg
Rfam family: tRNA
About the family: Transfer RNA (tRNA) molecules are approximately 80 nucleotides in length. Their secondary structure includes four short double-helical elements and three loops (D, anti-codon, and T loops). Further hydrogen bonds mediate the characteristic L-shaped molecular structure. tRNAs have two regions of fundamental functional importance: the anti-codon, which is responsible for specific mRNA codon recognition, and the 3' end, to which the tRNAs corresponding amino acid is attached (by aminoacyl-tRNA synthetases). tRNAs cope with the degeneracy of the genetic code in two manners: having more than one tRNA (with a specific anti-codon) for a particular amino acid; and 'wobble' base-pairing, i.e. permitting non-standard base-pairing at the 3rd anti-codon position.
Source: RNAcentral